This 253-nucleotide ribosomal RNA is filed under the name uncultured bacterium. RNAcentral's name for it is "partial 16S ribosomal RNA". It matches the Rfam family "Bacterial small subunit ribosomal RNA", at positions 524 to 776 of the family's 1533-position model. The record is from RNAcentral.
UACGAAGGGGGCUAGCGUUGUUCGGAAUUACUGGGCGUAAAGCGCACGUAGGCGGAUUGUUAGGUUAGGGGUGAAAUCCCGGGGCUCAACCCCGGAACUGCCUUUAAUACUGGCAAUCUCGAGUCCGAGAGAGGUGAGUGGAAUUCCGAGUGUAGAGGUGAAAUUCGUAGAUAUUCGGAGGAACACCAGUGGCGAAGGCGGCUCACUGGCUCGGUACUGACGCUGAGGUGCGAAAGCGUGGGGAGCGAACAGG